GAUGAACGCUGGCGGCGUGCCUAAUACAUGCAAGUCGAGCGAACAGACGAGGAGCUUGCUCCUCUGACGUUAGCGGCGGACGGGUGAGUAACACGUGGAUAACCUACCUAUAAGACUGGGAUAACUUCGGGAAACCGGAGCUAAUACCGGAUAAUAUAUUGAACCGCAUGGUUCAAUAGUGAAAGACGGUUUUGCUGUCACUUAUAGAUGGAUCCGCGCCGCAUUAGCUAGUUGGUAAGGUAACGGCUUACCAAGGCAACGAUGCGUAGCCGACCUGAGAGGCUGAUCGGCCACACUGGAACUGAGACACGGUCCAGACUCCUACGGGAGGCAGCAGUAGGGAAUCUUCCGCAAUGGGCGAAAGCCUGACGGAGCAACGCCGCGUGAGUGAUGAAGGUCUUCGGAUCGUAAAACUCUGUUAUUAGGGAAGAACAAAUGUGUACGUAACUAUGCCCGUCUUGACGGUACCUAAUCAGAAAGCCACGGCUAACUACGUG
This 497-nucleotide ribosomal RNA is filed under the name uncultured bacterium. RNAcentral describes it as "partial 16S ribosomal RNA". It matches the Rfam family "Bacterial small subunit ribosomal RNA", at positions 28 to 507 of the family's 1533-position model. The record is from RNAcentral.